This 462-nucleotide ribosomal RNA is filed under the name uncultured Desulfovibrio sp. RNAcentral describes it as "bacterial SSU rRNA". It matches the Rfam family "Bacterial small subunit ribosomal RNA", at positions 923 to 1382 of the family's 1533-position model. The record is from RNAcentral. Lineage: Bacteria; Pseudomonadati; Thermodesulfobacteriota; Desulfovibrionia; Desulfovibrionales; Desulfovibrionaceae.
GCACAAGCCGUGGAGUAUGUGGUUUAAUUCGAUGCAAGCGAAGAACCUUACCUAGGUUUUGACAUCCGGAAGACCUUCCCGAAAAGGAAGGGUGCCCUUCGGGGAAUUCCGAGACAGGUGCUGCAUGGCUGUCGUCAGCUCGUGCCGUUGAGGUGUUGGGUUAAGUCCCGCAACCGAGCGCAACCCCUAUUGCCAGUUGCUACCAGGUAAUGCUGGGCACUCUGGUGAGACUGCCCGUUAACGGGGAGGAAGGUGGGGACGACGUCAAGUCAUCAUGGCCCUUACGCCUAGGGCUACACACGUACUACAAUGGCGCAUACAAAGGGCAGCGAUACCGCGAGGUGGAGCCAAUCCCAAAAAGUGCGUCCCAGUCCGGAUUGCAGUCUGCAACUCGACUGCAUGAAGUUGGAAUCGCUAGUAAUUCGAGAUCAGCAUGCUCGGGUGAAUGCGUUCCCGGGCCUU